RNAcentral lists this ribosomal RNA (253 nucleotides) under uncultured bacterium. RNAcentral describes it as "partial 16S ribosomal RNA". It matches the Rfam family "Bacterial small subunit ribosomal RNA", at positions 524 to 776 of the family's 1533-position model. The record is from RNAcentral.
GACGAACCGUGCGAACGUUAAUCGGAAUUACUGGGCGUAAAGCGCACGUAGGCGGCUUGGUAUGUCGGGUGUGAAAUCCCCGGGCUCAACCUGGGAACUGCAUCCGAAACUGCCUUGCUAGAGUAUGGGAGAGGGAAGUGGAAUUUCCGGUGUAGCGGUGAAAUGCGUAGAUAUCGGAAGGAACAUCAGUGGCGAAGGCGACUUCCUGGACCAAUACUGACGCUCAGGUGCGAAAGCGUGGGGAGCAAACAGG